GGAGUAUGUGGUUAAUUCGAUGCAACGCGAAGAACCUUACCUGGUCUUGACAUCCCGGAGACCCUUAGGAAACUAGGGGUGCUUCCAUCUGGAAGAAUCUGGAGACAGGUGCUGCAUGGCUGUCGUCGGCUCGUGUCGUGAGAUGUGGGUUAAGUCCCGCAACGAGCGCAACCCUUGCCUUUAGUUGCCAGCAGUUCGGCUGGGCACUCUAAAGGGACUGCCGGUGUUAAACCGGAGGAAGGUGGGGAUGACGUCAAGUCCUCAUGGCCUUUAUGACCAGGGCUACACACGUACUACAAUGGCCGAUACAAAGGGCAGCGACACUGCGAGGUGAAGCCAAUCCCGUAAAAUCGGUCUCAGUCCGGAUUGGAGUCUGCAACUCGACUCCAUGAGGUUGGAAUCGCUAGUAAUCGUGGAUCAGCAUGCCACGGUGAAUACGUUCCCGGGCCUU
This 451-nucleotide ribosomal RNA is filed under the name uncultured Desulfobulbus sp. RNAcentral describes it as "bacterial SSU rRNA". It matches the Rfam family "Bacterial small subunit ribosomal RNA", at positions 934 to 1382 of the family's 1533-position model. Lineage: Bacteria; Pseudomonadati; Thermodesulfobacteriota; Desulfobulbia; Desulfobulbales; Desulfobulbaceae. The record is from RNAcentral.